UUUUUUUUUUUAGGUAGUGCUCUUUUCACAUAACUUAAGCAUCUUACAUCUGGUGUUAGUUAACUAGGCUACUCUAUAAAGCUGAUAAACGCACCUAUAAUGUAUACCGAAACACUUUACUUUACACCUAGGCGCAAAAAAAGUCACUCCCCGGGAUCUGCAAGUACCAGUUGGACCGUGCACUUCAUAAGAGAAGAGGUACAUAUGUACAUACCUUAGGAGAGGG
Molecule: long non-coding RNA, 226 nt
Filed under: Drosophila guanche
Lineage: Eukaryota; Metazoa; Arthropoda; Insecta; Diptera; Drosophilidae
Source: RNAcentral